This 350-nucleotide ribosomal RNA is filed under the name Nematoda environmental sample. RNAcentral's name for it is "bacterial SSU rRNA". It matches the Rfam family "Eukaryotic small subunit ribosomal RNA", at positions 1300 to 1665 of the family's 1831-position model. The record is from RNAcentral. Lineage: Eukaryota; Metazoa; Nematoda.
GGUGGAGCGAUUUGUCUGGUUAAUUCCGAUAACGAACGAGACUCUGGCCUAUUAAAUAGUCGGAAUAUUUUUCUUCGGAGUAUUUCGCACUUCUUAGAGGGACAAGCGGCGUCCAGCCGCAUGAAAUAGAGCAAUAACAGGUCUGUGAUGCCCUUAGAUGUCCGGGGCUGCACGCGCGCUACACUGAAAGAGUCAGUAUGCGUUUUUUAUACCCGGUCCGUAAGGACUAGGUAACCCUGCGAAAUUCUUUCGUGCUUGGGAUAGGGAAUUGAAAUUAUUUCCCUUAAACGAGGAAUUCCCAGUAAAUGCGGGUCAUAAGCUCGCGUUGAAUACGUCCCUGCCCUUUGUAC